Molecule: ribosomal RNA, 756 nt
Filed under: uncultured bacterium
Lineage: Bacteria
Description: bacterial SSU rRNA
Rfam family: Bacterial small subunit ribosomal RNA
Source: RNAcentral
AGAGUUUGAUCCUGGCUCAGAAUCAACGCUGGCGGCGUGCCUAACACAUGCAAGUCGCACGAGAAAGGGUAGCAAUACCUGAGUACAGUGGCGCACGGGUGAGUAACACGUGAAUUAUCUACCUCCGAGUGGGGAAUAACUGAGAGAAAUCUUAGCUAAUACCGCAUAACACUUACGAGUCAAAGCAGCAAUGCGCUUGGAGAGGAGUUCGCGGCAGAUUAGUUAGUUGGCGGGGUAAUGGCCCACCAAGACGAUGAUCUGUAUCCGGCCUGAGAGGGCGCACGGACACACUGGAACUGAAACACGGUCCAGACUCCUACGGGAGGCAGCAGUGGGGAAUUUUGCGCAAUGGGGGAAACCCUGACGCAGCAACGCCGCGUGGAGGAUGAAAUAUCUUGGUAUGUAAACUCCUUUCGAUGGGGAAGAUUAUGACGGUACCCAUAGAAGAAGCCCCGGCUAACUUCGUGCCAGCAGCCGCGGUAAUACGAGGGGGGCAAGCGUUGUUCGGAUUUAUUGGGCGUAAAGGGUGCGUAGGCGGUUUGGCAAGUCUUAUGUGAAAUCUUCGGGCUCAACCCGAAGCCUGCAUAAGAAACUGCCGGGCUUGAGUAUGGGAGAGGUGAGUGGAAUUUCCGGUGUAGCGGUGAAAUGCGUAGAUAUCGGAAGGAACACCUGUGGCGAAAGCGGCUCACUGGACCAUAACUGACGCUGAUGCACGAAAGCUAGGGGAGCAAACAGGAUUAGAUACCCCCGUAGUCC